This is a long non-coding RNA of Solanum tuberosum (potato), 3005 nucleotides long. RefSeq lists it as uncharacterized. The transcript is spliced from 8 exons. The record is from RefSeq and is a predicted model, not a curated record. NCBI's taxonomy places the organism in Eukaryota, Viridiplantae, Streptophyta, Magnoliopsida, Solanales, Solanaceae.
AUCGUAUCAAAAACCGGUCCAAUGAGCCCAAACGACGGCUUUACCUAGAGAACGCUAACCAUAGCUUGUAACACUGUGACUCUGUGAGCAAGCUGCUGGUUUGCUUGAAAUCAUGGCUGCUGCGGUUGCUGUUGAUGUUGAUCUUCUUUCAUGGAAAGUUGAAAUUUUAAAACUGACGGUUUCCAUCAUUGGUGUAUGUGGUAUGGGAAGAGUUGGAAAGAAUACUUUGGUGAAGAAUUUGAAUAAUGAACUCAUAAAGACUAUUGCGUCAGGCUCUAAACUGUCUUUUGGUCUUGUGGUAUGGGUUACAGUUCCCAAACCGCCAAUAGACAUAAACAAGGUUCAAACAAAAAUUGCCAAUAGAAUAGACAUAAAGGUUGAUGUCAACAAAAGAGUACAAGACGUUGCCAAUAAAAUUCAUCAAAGACUCAAGCAAGAAAUGAGCUCAGUUCUUAUACUGGAUCAUGCUUGGCAAAUGAAAACAUACACCGAAACAAAGGUGUACACUAUGAAUGAGGAUGAAUCUUGGCAACUGUUUGUCAAAAAAGUAGAAGAUAAUGCCUCUUUGGAGCAUAGUCAACCAUUCGCAAAGGCAAUUGCAAGAGAGUGCAAUGGUAUACCUUUAGCAAUUGUUGUUAUUGGAGCAUCUGUGAGGGAAGAAGAGGGUCGAGUUGUGGAAAGAUUCUUUAGAAUCACUUGGAAUGUCCAAACCUCAUAACAAAUAUGUCAAAAAGAGAGGUGACAUUCAAAGUUGUUUCUUGUAUUGCUCCUUAUAUCCGAUGACUAUUCCAAUAGAUGAUCUCAUACACAUUGCCGAUGGGCAGAUGGGUUACUUUGUGAACGUAACACAUGAAGCCUACAAUACGGGAAUCACAAUGAUUGAGAGUCUAAAAGAUGCCUGCUUGCCUGAAAUGUAUGAGUUUGAUUCUGUGAAGAUGCAUGACGUAGUUCAAGAUGUUGGGUACAUGGAUAGCUAAUUCCUUUGGGAAGGACAUGGAGAAGCUAACAAAGUUCAGAGAUGCUAUCAAGGAGAAGGUGGAUGGAGCUGAGAGAGAAGGCUAUAAACCAAAACCAGAUGUUUUGAAGUGGCUCAAGGUCUUAAGGAGAUGCUAUCAAGGAGAAGGUGGAAGGAGUUGAGAGAGAAGGCUAUAAACCAAAACCGGAUGUCCUUAAGUGGCUCAAGGAUGUUCAGAAGCUGGAGAAUGAAUGGGAGUCUAUUCAAGAAAGCAUUGCAAUGACGAAGAAGCUUGCAUAAAAAUGCUGUCCAAAUUGCAGCCUUCACUUGGAAGUCUCCACUCAAGCACAAAACCCGUGAGAUCAACUUUGUAAGCUUAUAGAUAUUGGAGAAAGCUUUGAAUCCAAUUUGAUGGUAGAAUAUUACCCGAUGAAAAAAAGUUGAGUUCAUCUCAGGACCAUCAAUAGAAGGCCAGUCAGCAGCAACAAGGAAUCUCAACAAAAUCCUACAACUAUUAGAAGAUGAUGAGGUGGGGAUCAUUAUGGGAGGAGUGGGAAAGACUACUUUGGUGAAGAAUUUGAACAAUGAGCUACUAAAGACUACCGCGUCAAGCUCCAAACUGCCUUUUUAUUAAAUUGGAUACUUCAUCAAUUCUCAAUGGAGACCACACAUGGAUGACUAGAUUGAAAAGAUUCCGCAUUGAAGUUGGGGAAGCUCCAGUACCAGUAAAAUUCAACAAGUCAGCAAGGAUGAUAUAUGCGUCUCCAAUUGUGAAAGUUUCAGCAAGGGAGAGCUCUCAAUGAAUAGGUGUGUCAGAGAAAUCUGAGAGUUCAAGCAAGAUUUGUUAGUUAGCUUCACAUCAUGGCUCACUGGCAGUAUGUCCGUGCAACUUUACUGGCAAGAAACAAAGCUGAUGGCUUAUACUCUGUCAAUGCAGGCUACUCAACCCUUUGUGCACAGAAUGAGAUGGUGGAAAGCUGGUCGUGGAAACUAAUUUGGGAAACAAAAUUACCACCAAAGGUGAUUUGCUUCAGUUGGAAAGCACCAUACGAAGCAUGUUUUGACUGAAGAUAAUCUCAACAGAAGAAAAAUGCACAUUGUCAACAGAUGCUACUUGUGCAAACAAUGUAUAGAAACCAGCAGUCAUCUCUACUACACUGCUCAGUUGCUAUAGAAAUUUGGAAUAUGUUCGUUUCAGAUUUUGGGCUCAGUUGGGUCAUGCCUGAGAGGAAAAUCUAGAAAAUAGUCCCUGCUUGUAUUGUUUGGUGAAUUUGGAUAGAAAAGGAAUAUGUUUGUUUCUAUUGCAAAUUGAAGCAAUAGAAGGAAAUAUGAUGCAACACAAAAGAAGCCCAAUUUGCCUAGAGCAUAGCACUAGCCUCACAUCUCGUACACCAAAACGUCUAAAGGCCGAUGUUACCAUUUCCUCCAAGACAAAUACAGCUUCUGUUCUCCUUGAAGUAAUAUGAGAUACAUAAAAUUCCGCCAUGAACAAGUGAAGUGUGUGAACGACACUUGCUUGAGAUGGACCAAAUUCAAGAAUUUCUGGGCGAUUUGAUCCAACUCACGCUUGAACAAGCUAAGCCUCUCAAUUUUGGAAGGAAAAAGUGGUAGGGGGACACAUAAGAGCAGAAUCUACGGGAUGAGCUCUCGGGACGAUGUAUGAUGACUCCAAUUAGGAUUAGAAGGUUUUGGAUCGUCAUGCCAAAUCGAGAUACUUGAUGGUGUUCAAAUAGCUGCUAUGUCACAACAAAUUGCGUAACUUACUUGUGCAUUGGCAGUGUCCGAGGUUCAACGAGUUGCUGAAAAUGAAAGAAUGAGCAAAACCGUUGAGAAAAUCAAAGAAUAAGUGUAUAACCUCGCUCGUCGGCCUAGUAUGUCUCGUUCUUCAAGAGGACCCUCGAGUGAUGAAAAAGCCGAAUACAUAGCCUCCGCCUCUUAGCAUCUCUUUAGUGAUCAUUUUAUACUUCUUGUAGCAAUUUUUUUAAAAAGAUUUUUAUGUUUUUAUAUUAUGAUUUUAGUGUUUAUGGAUGUUUGAUUAAGUUUGUUAUUA